GGGGACGCGCGGGCUCGACAGGGGGAUGCUUGGCGGAAUUGCAGGCCGAGGCGCCACCGCACCUCGUAAAAAGGUGGCACAAUAGUAACUGGCGAUCGUGAACUCGCCCUAGCUGCCUAACCGCAGCUACGUCCGCCCUGGCUGCUCCCGGAGGCCGGGAAACGGGCGCCAUAACUCCGGGAUGCUGCCGGCCCAACGCCGAUGAGGCCGGUCCAAGAACCAUCGGCUACGUCUCUGGAGAUUCGGCCGGCGGAAGCUCCGGUAGGCGAAACAAAUAGCCGGAUAAGCCUGUAGUACAUUCCAGUUGGGAGCCUUCUGGACGGGGAGUUCGACCCUCCCCCGUCUCCACCA
This 351-nucleotide transfer-messenger RNA is filed under the name Dehalococcoidia. RNAcentral's name for it is "JAGWBJ01 sp021295955 Standard tmRNA". It matches the Rfam family "transfer-messenger RNA". Rfam says of the family: Bacterial tmRNA, also known as 10Sa RNA or SsrA, is named for its dual tRNA and mRNA-like properties. Lineage: Bacteria; Bacillati; Chloroflexota. The record is from RNAcentral. RNAcentral also lists the same sequence under 1 other name.